This 253-nucleotide ribosomal RNA is filed under the name uncultured bacterium. Its description in RNAcentral is "partial 16S ribosomal RNA". It matches the Rfam family "Bacterial small subunit ribosomal RNA", at positions 524 to 776 of the family's 1533-position model. The record is from RNAcentral.
UAUGUAGGGUGCAAGCGUUAAUCGGAAUUACUGGGCGUAAAGCGUGCGCAGGCGGCUUUGCAAGACAGAUGUGAAAUCCCCGGGCUCAACCUGGGAACUGCAUUUGUGACUGCAUGGCUAGAGUACGGUAGAGGGGGAUGGAAUUCCGCGUGUAGCAGUGAAAUGCGUAGAUAUGCGGAGGAACACCGAUGGCGAAGGCAAUCCCCUGGACCUGUACUGACGCUCAUGCACGAAAGCGUGGGGAGCAAAAGGG